Molecule: ribosomal RNA, 457 nt
Filed under: uncultured bacterium
Lineage: Bacteria
Description: partial 16S ribosomal RNA
Rfam family: Bacterial small subunit ribosomal RNA
Source: RNAcentral
CCUACGGGAGGCAGCAGUGGGGAAUAUUGCACAAUGGGGGAAACCCUGAUGCAGCGACGCCGCGUGAGUGAAGAAGCGUUUCGGCGCGUAAAGCUCUGUCAGCGGGGAAGAAACACGGUUCGCGAGAGUCGCGGACGGUACCCGACCAAGAAGCCCCGGCUAACUACGUGCCAGCAGCCGCGGUAAUACGUAGGGGGCAAGCGUUAUCCGGAUUUAUUGGGUUUAAAGGGUGCGUAGGCGGACGCUUAAGUCAGCGGUAAAAUUGCGGGGCUCAACCUCGUCGAGCCGUUGAAACUGGGUGCCUUGAGUGGGCGAGAAGUACGCGGAAUGCGUGGUGUAGCGGUGAAAUGCAUAGAUAUCACGCAGAACUCCGAUUGCGAAGGCAGCGUACCGGCGCCCAACUGACGCUGAAGCACGAAGGCGUGGGUAUCGAACAGGAUUAGAUACCCUUGUAGUC